Molecule: long non-coding RNA, 613 nt
Organism: Lagopus muta (rock ptarmigan)
Lineage: Eukaryota; Metazoa; Chordata; Aves; Galliformes; Phasianidae
Exons: 4
Source: RefSeq, a predicted model, not a curated record
CAACCCUGCCUGCUGUAUACACCCCAUACUGCAAUCAAAUGUAUUUGGAAAUGAAGGAAAGAGGUCCUUCACGGUUCCUCUAAGGACCACUAAAGUAAUCUAAGAAAAGAUAUCCAGCAGAAUUACAAGAAAAAUAAUGACCGAAGGGACCAUAUUCUGCAGAAAUUGGCUGUAUAACUUUUGGUACUCUUAUCACGCCCAAAGUCUUGCCAUGACGUGCUGUGGGGAGAAAGUCCUUGUGUGCAAAUCUGAGUGCCAGCUGCUAGCACUUUGUCUCAGCAAAAAGAGAGCCACUUGUGAACAACCAGAACGGACGAGCCAAAUGAAAGUAUGCCUUGUGGAUGUGGACAGCGUGACUCAAAGCUGCUGCAUUUGAGCAUCUCCUCACUUGCUGCAUCCUUGGACUUUGCUACCCUGCUGUCAUUGCUUUCCAUUGAGUCACAGUCACCGAUGGCAAAUGUUUUGUCUCUAGAAGAAAGAAGACGUGUCUGCAUGAGGUAAACAGCAUGAAGGGGCUGCACCGGCCAAGUCGUGAAUGAGCUGAUGCAUAACUUCUUUUCCCUUUCCUAUUCUGUCCUGGUAUGUUGCCAGAGCCUGGUUGUCAUGAGAGUAC